Molecule: ribosomal RNA, 253 nt
Filed under: uncultured bacterium
Lineage: Bacteria
Description: partial 16S ribosomal RNA
Rfam family: Bacterial small subunit ribosomal RNA
Source: RNAcentral
UACGGGGGGGGCAAGCGUUGUUCGGAAUUACUGGGCGUAAAGGGCUUGUAGGUGGCCAACUAAGUCAGACGUGAAAUCCCUCGGCUUAACCGGGGAACUGCGUCUGAUACUGGAUGGCUUGAGUGUGGGAGAGGGAUGCGGAAUUCCAGGUGUAGAGGUGAAAUUCGUAGAUAUCGGGAGGAACACCAGUGGCGAAGGCGGCGAUCUGGGAAGAUACUGACGCUGAGGUGCGAAAGCGUGGGGAGCAAACAGG